Molecule: RNA transcript, 1752 nt
Organism: Candoia aspera
Lineage: Eukaryota; Metazoa; Chordata; Lepidosauria; Squamata; Candoiidae
Gene: MLF2
Gene name: myeloid leukemia factor 2
Exons: 9
Source: RefSeq, a predicted model, not a curated record
CUGUUUAGGCCUUGUGGGUUUCUUUGAAAACGAAAAAUAUCCUUUUACUGCAAACGGGAUUUGCAACAGUAUUUAUAUUUUUGUAAACGAAGCGGGGACAAAGCGGAGCAAUUUGGUCUGCCUUUCCUGUUGCCAGUGGGCGGCUGCGCUGUGGUAGCAUAGAAUUGGAAAGGGGAACAUCUCCUCUCUUCUGCCCCCCCUCCACGCAGCAUAGUUACAACAAAGAACAUACCGUGGGGUGGGGAAGGGGGCAGGAAGGGAUGCAGCAUUAAUCUUCCCCUUUAGGGCUCGCGGCUGGAGCAAAUUCCGUGAGAACUAGAGACAGGAGGCGACAGUAACAAAGGAUUUGGCCAGAGAGCCCAUCCUGCAUUUGAGGGAAUUAUGUUCCGGUUCAUGAGAGAUGGAGAGCCAGAGGAUCCAAUGUUUAUGAUGGAUCCUCUUGCUAUCCAUCAGCAGCAUGUGAAUCGUGUACUUUCAGGGGGAUUUGGAUAUAGCCCUUUCCUCAGCAUUAGCAAUGGGACAGUACCUGGAACACGCCAAGCUAGUCGAAGAAUGCAGGCUGGAACUGUUUCGCCCUUUGGGAUGGUAGGAAUGGCAGGUGGAUUUAUGGACAUGUUUGGAAUGAUGAAUGACAUGAUUGGGAACAUGGAGCACAUGACAAGUGGUGCCAAUUGCCAGACAUUUACUUCUUCCACCGUCAUAUCCUACUCAAAUCUGGGUGAUGGCCCUAAAGUCUAUCAGGAGACCUCAGAGACACGCUCUGCACCUGGUGGGAUCCGGGAGACACGGCGGACGGUGCGAGAUUCUGACAGUGGGCUGGAGCAGAUGUCAAUUGGGCACCACAUCAGAGAACGUGCACACAUCAUGCAGCGCUCACGCAAUCAUCGCACAGGUGACCAAGAGGAGAGGCAAGACUAUAUCAACCUGGAUGAGAGUGAUGCAGCUGCAUUUGAUGAUGAAUGGAGGCGAGAGACAUCCCGCUUCCGGACACAGAGGGGGCUGGACUAUCGGCGUCAUGAUGGAAGCAGUGGCCGAAGAAUUGAGGGGGGUCGUCUUGCUAUUCAGGGACCUGAGGAUUCUCCAACCAGACAGUCGCGUCGGUACGACUGGUGAAUCCACAGCAGAUGUGGGGGGUGGUGCAGUGCGGUCACCCCCAAAUCUACUUUCAUGCUCUUGUACAGACAGUGAAACUCUGAUGGUGAAGCCCCUACAAGACAACACUUGGAUCUUCCGCAAGCUGAAUUCUAGCUUCCUGCCCUCCUAAGAUUUAAAUUGACUAACUCUGCAUAGUUAUAUUUCUUGCAUAGAACAGUUGGCCAAGGAGAAUGUGAGGGACCUUUGUCUAUAAAUGAGUAACAUACCAAUUACUGUUUUCCUCUAACUCCUUUCCGCCCUACAAAAGCUCCCCAAUUUUCCAUUUGGAUAUUUUCGGGCGAUUCAGGAGUUCUUGCUCAUCCCCAUACCUCAUUUCUACUUACCCAUCUCAAACAGCAGCCACAUAACAGUUGACCUGCUAUUAGUUUCAAGUAGUUGGAAAACAACCUUUAGUUGUCCCUGCUCUUGGCCAGCCUGCCUUCCCUGGAACUUGGGAUAUGUAUGAGGUGCAAGGGAUCAAAUGAGGUGCGGACAAACCAAGCAGGUCCUACCUCUGUUCUCCAGUUGUCAGCUCCCAAUCUUAUAAAAUUUGAUUUUGUGAAACUUGUAACUAAAUGUUUAUUGAGUUGAAUAAAGAAAUGGAACCUGUAAAGCAAA